GCAAAAUGUUCCCGUGCGAAACACUCCCAUUUGAGUAGAGCCACGAGUCCCACCAAGCCAGAAACACAAGACGGAGAAAUGGAGAAAAGACAGAUCACUGUCACCCAGCACUAAGCCCUCUCACAGUACUGGGUCCCACGUGUCCUUGUGAAAGGGGAAAAUGGGCUCUGAGGCAGCGAGCGCAGGUACCGGCAGGCAGAACUCCUCGAAGGCCGGCUUCACGAAGGUGGUGUACUGCGUCAGAAUCUGCUCCAGGUCCCUCCCUCGGCGCACGUCCCGGAGAACUGCAGCGGCAAGGGGCAGGCGUGCUUCAGACCUCAGGACCUGCCGCCAGCCUCGGCCAGGCAGGCACGGAGGCCCCCGGCCGCCUUACCUCUUCGAGACAGCCUGACGUCGGAGUCGGUGUCCACGAAGAGGCGCAGGUGGAACAUGUCCCGGAUCUCCUGGCUGUAGAACACCAAGAUGCCCUCAAACAGAACCACGUCCGCAGGGUAGACCACCGUGGUCUCUGGUAACCU
This is a long non-coding RNA of Gorilla gorilla gorilla (western lowland gorilla), 518 nucleotides long. RefSeq lists it as uncharacterized. Lineage: Eukaryota; Metazoa; Chordata; Mammalia; Primates; Hominidae. The record is from RefSeq and is a predicted model, not a curated record. The transcript is spliced from 2 exons.